This is a small nuclear RNA of Monodelphis domestica (gray short-tailed opossum), 122 nucleotides long. The record is from Ensembl. Lineage: Eukaryota; Metazoa; Chordata; Mammalia; Didelphimorphia; Didelphidae.
GUGUUGUAUGAAAGGAGAGAACUUUAGCACUCUCCUUGAUAAGGAUAUGUAUCUUAGUGGCCUUUACGACACACAUACAGUUACAGUAUUGCCACCUACUCUGUGGCAUGUAACCAUUUUUA